AUUGAACGCUGGCGGCAUGCCUUACACAUGCAAGUCGAACGGUAACAGGUUAAGCUGACGAGUGGCGAACGGGUGAGUAAUGUAUCGGAACGUGCCCAGUCGUGGGGGAUAACUGCUCGAAAGAGCAGCUAAUACCGCAUACGACCUGAGAGUGAAAGCGGGGGAUCGCAAGACCUCGCGCGAUUGGAGCGGCCGAUAUCAGAUUAGGUAGUUGGUGAGGUAAAGGCUUACCAAGCCGACGAUCUGUAGCUGGUCUGAGAGGACGACCAGCCACACUGGGACUGAGACACGGCCCAGACUCCUACGGGAGGCAGCAGUGGGGAAUUUUGGACAAUGGGCGCAAGCCUGAUCCAGCCAUGCCGCGUGCGGGAAGAAGGCCUUCGGGUUGUAAACCGCUUUUGUCAGGGAAGAAAAGGUUCUGGCUAAUACCUGGGACUCAUGACGGUACCUGAAGAAUAAGCACCGGCUAACUACGUG
This 477-nucleotide ribosomal RNA is filed under the name uncultured bacterium. Its description in RNAcentral is "partial 16S ribosomal RNA". It matches the Rfam family "Bacterial small subunit ribosomal RNA", at positions 30 to 507 of the family's 1533-position model. The record is from RNAcentral.